GACGAACGCUGGCGGCGUGCUUAACACAUGCAAGUCGAACGAUGAAGCCUAGCUUGCUAGGUGGAUUAGUGGCGAACGGGUGAGUAAUACGUGAGUGACCUACCUUUGACUCUGGGAUAAGCCUGGGAAACUGGGUCUAAUACCGGAUACGACCAAUCUCUGCAUGGGGUGUUGGUGGAAAGCGUUAUGGAGUGGUUUUAGAUGGGCUCACGGCCUAUCAGCUUGUUGGUGAGGUAAUGGCUUACCAAGGCGACGACGGGUAGCCGGCCUGAGAGGGUGACCGGCCACACUGGGACUGAGACACGGCCCAGACUCCUACGGGAGGCAGCAGUGGGGAAUAUUGCACAAUGGGCGCAAGCCUGAUGCAGCGACGCCGCGUGAGGGAUGACGGCCUUCGGGUUGUAAACCUCUGUUAGCAUCGAAGAAGCGAAAGUGACGGUAGGUGCAGAGAAAGCGCCGGCUAACUACGUGCCAGCAGCCGCGGUAAUACGUAGGGCGCGAGCGUUGUCCGGAAUUAUUGGGCGUAAAGAGCUUGUAGGCGGUUGGUCGCGUCUGCUGUGAAGGCCGGGGCUUAACUCCGGUUUUGCAGUGGGUACGGGCUAACUAGAGUGCAGUAGGGGAGGCUGGAAUUCCUGGUGUAGCGGCGGAAUGCACAGAUAUCAGGAGGAACACCGAUGGCGAAGGCAGGUCUCUGGGCUGUAACUGACGCUGAGAAGCGAAAGCAUGGGGAGCGAACAGGAUUAGAUACCCUGGUAGUCCAUGCCGUAAACGUUGGGCACUAGGUGUGGGGGACAUUCCACGUUUUCCGCGCCGUAGCUAACGCAUUAAGUGCCCCGCCUGGGGAGUACGGCCGCAAGGCUAAAACUCAAAGGAAUUGACGGGGGCCCGCACAAGCGGCGGAGCAUGCGGAUUAAUUCGAUGCAACGCGAAGAACCUUACCAAGGCUUGACAUGCAUUAGAUCGCGUCAGAGAUGGCGUUUCCCUUCGGGGCUGGUGUACAGGUGGUGCAUGGUUGUCGUCAGCUCGUGUCGUGAGAUGUUGGGUUAAGUCCCGCAACGAGCGCAACCCUCGUUCUAUGUUGCCAGCGGUUCGGCCGGGGACUCAUAGGAGACUGCCGGGGUUAACUCGGAGGAAGGUGGGGAUGACGUCAAAUCAUCAUGCCCCUUAUGUCUUGGGCUUCACGCAUGCUACAAUGGCCGGUACAGAGGGUUGCGAUACUGUGAGGUGGAGCUAAUCCCUUAAAGCCGGUCUCAGUUCGGAUUGGGGUCUGCAACUCGACCCCAUGAAGUCGGAGUCGCUAGUAAUCGCAGAUCAGCAACGCUGCGGUGAAUACGUUCCCGGGCCU
Molecule: ribosomal RNA, 1345 nt
Filed under: uncultured bacterium
Lineage: Bacteria
Description: bacterial SSU rRNA
Rfam family: Bacterial small subunit ribosomal RNA
Source: RNAcentral